CCUACGGGGGGCAGCAGUGAGGAAUAUUGGUCAAUGGGCGGAAGCCUGAACCAGCCAAGUCGCGUGAGGGAAUAAGGCCCUACGGGUCGUAAACCUCUUUUGCCGGGGAGCAAGGGCGGGGACGUGUCCCGGCCCGGAGAGUACCCGGAGAAAAAGCAUCGGCUAACUCCGUGCCCGCAGCCGCGGUAAUACGGGGGAUGCGAGCGUUAUCCGGAUUUAUUGGGUUUAAAGGGUGCGUGGGCGGGCUUUUAAGUCAGCGGUAAAAAUUCGGGGCUCAACCCCGUCCGGCCGUUGAAACUGGGGGACUUGAGUGGGGGAGAAGAAGGCGGAAUGUGUGGUGUAGCGGUGAAAUGCAUAGAUAUCACGCAGAACCCCGAUUGCGAAGGCAGCCUUCCGGCGCCCUACUGACGCUGAGGCACGAAAGUGCGGGGAGCGAACAGGAUUAGAUACCCCGGUAGUC
This 460-nucleotide ribosomal RNA is filed under the name uncultured bacterium. Its description in RNAcentral is "partial 16S ribosomal RNA". It matches the Rfam family "Bacterial small subunit ribosomal RNA", at positions 338 to 795 of the family's 1533-position model. The record is from RNAcentral.